AAGUCGUAACAAGGUAGCCAAGGGCGAAUUCGCGGCCGCUAAAUUCAAUUCGCCCUAUAGUGAGUCGUAUUAAGACAUUUAAGAAAUCUUCCCUUUGGUUCUAGAUAACUGUUGGGAAUGACUGCUAAUACCGGAUGAUCUCUAUUAGACCAAAGAUUUAUCGCCUGAAGAUGAGCCCGCGUAGGAUUAGCUAGUUGGUGUGGUAAAGGCGCACCAAGGCGACGAUCCUUAGCUGGUCUGAGAGGAUGAUCAGCCACACUGGGACUGAGACACGGCCCAGACUCCUACGGGAGGCAGCAGUGGGGAAUAUUGGACAAUGGGCGCAAGCCUGAUCCUCACUGCCGCGUGAGUGAUGAAGGCCUUAGGGUUGUAAAGCUCUUUUACCCGGGAUGAUAAUGACAGUACCGGGAGAAUAAGCCCCGGCUAACUCCGUGCCGCCGCCUCGGUAAUACUGACGGGGCUAGCGUUGUUCUCAAUUACUGGGCGUAAAGCGCACGUAGGCUGCUUUGUUGGUUAGAGGUCAAAGCCUGGAGCUCUACUCCAGCACUGCCUUUAACACUGCAUCUCUUGAAUCCAGGAGAGGUGAGUGCAAUCCUAGUGUCGAGGUGAAAUUUCUUAAUAUUCUCAAGACCCCCGUGGCUACGCGGCCCCUGGCUGGUAUUACUCUGAGUCCCAAAGCGUGGGGAGCAACAAGACUGAUUCCCUCGUAUCCAC
RNAcentral lists this ribosomal RNA (714 nucleotides) under uncultured Sphingomonadaceae bacterium. RNAcentral describes it as "partial 16S ribosomal RNA". It matches the Rfam family "Bacterial small subunit ribosomal RNA", at positions 59 to 798 of the family's 1533-position model. Lineage: Bacteria; Pseudomonadati; Pseudomonadota; Alphaproteobacteria; Sphingomonadales; Sphingomonadaceae. The record is from RNAcentral.